Acanthochromis polyacanthus (spiny chromis) is the source of this 1393-nucleotide long non-coding RNA. RefSeq lists it as uncharacterized. The transcript has 6 exons. The record is from RefSeq and is a predicted model, not a curated record. Lineage: Eukaryota; Metazoa; Chordata; Actinopteri; Pomacentridae.
ACUGUACGUUGGUUUUAUGGUACCUGCUUGCAGUUCUGUUUUUUGUUUUUUUUAAAGAAAAAAAGAUUUGAAAGAGCCAAUGUGGCGUAGCGUUUCGUUUUGGUCACCACCCCUCUAGUUGUCAGAACUUCCGGGAAAACACGAUAAAUACCGAAGAAGAAGAAGAAGAAGAACUCGUCAAAGUACUACAACUACAGCUGAAACUACCAACUCGACAAACUAUCUAGACACUCUUUUGCUCAUUCAUUAUCAUGUAUUUCCCCCUCCUGAUGGAUCACGACUAUUCGUUGCCGGUUCCCGACCCUCCGGUCACCCAAACUGCUCCGGUGAAGCGCAAACGUGCCGGCGAACUGAAUGACCGGAGGAGACUGAGCCACCAGAGGAGCGGUAAAACCCGGAUUAACAUCGGAGAGUGUCUCCCCAGGUGGCGAGAGCUCCGUAGCAGGUUGGGACUGCAGAGAGACGCUGAUAUGGCUCGAGUUCUCCUGGACAGCUUCACUAAUAUGACGUCCACCAUGAGCCUGAGUGAAGAUGAUGAUGAUGAUGAUUAUCUUAAAAACACAAAGUUUGUCUGGAACAACCCAGAUGAGGAUGACACAUGGGAAACAGCCAGUGAAGACAGCACCACUGAAGAGUACAUCCCUUCUAUUUCUCUGAGGAAGGGUGGAGGAAAAAAUAAUUUGGAGCAGAAAAAUGGUCUACAAGAGAAAGUGCAGCGCUGUACUGCAGUGAAUAAACUUCUCCCUCCACGUGAAGAGUCUGUAUCGACGCCUCCUAUUAGCCAUCAGGUCAAGUGUGAGGAUUAUAUGAAUGGACAAUCAGUUCCAGUUACAUAUGAAUCCAGCAUGAGACAGCUGGUCACACUUCUACAGAUACCUGUGGUGAAUCUGAACGUCACAGACAUCAACAAAUGAUGCUUGUCAGGCUUCAGCCACUUCAAGAAGCACAGGAACAAUCAUCACAUGGAUGUUCCAAUAGCCACAGAAUACAGGUGUGGAGCUCGGCGCCCACUCUGAAACACAGACCGCAUCCUGUCAGGGAAAAACUUGUACAAAGUUUCACAAAGGUUAAGCUGCACGAAAGUGGUCUUUGUCCGAAAAGACACGUUUUCCAACAGUUAAAGCUCCAACGAAGGGAGAGAGAUCUGUACAAUAAAGACGGUGGUGUUGUUUUAGGGGUCAGCGCUACACUUCAGGACAAGAGACCCAAGCUGGACUCUAAUCUCGUUUAUCCAGUGUUCUGAACCACCCUGACUUUUAGUUUCUUUUUUUUGUUUUUCAUUUUUUAGGACACUUUGUCUGCGCAACUCUUUUCAUCCACAUUUGUUCUCGCAUAAAACUGUGUGUUAAAGGUAUAAUGUGUCACAUUUCUGCAUUAAAAUGUCUAAAAAUCA